CCCCUUCCCUCUCCAGCUUCUAAUUGACACACAGCACAACAAACCCUCCCGGGACCUUCUUCUUCAUCUCAUUUUCAGCAAUCAACACCAAAAACGACCAGCCCUCACCUUGAAGAACCAAGGACGACUUUCCCCAUACACAACAGCCUUUUUCGACGUCGCCAGAGCAGCGGGCUUCGCGGCGGUGGAUUGAGCAGCACCGCUCCCUUCUUGCUCCUUCUUCUUCUUCUCCAAUCCAUCUUUUCUUCAUCCCCCUCAUCUGAAAUUCUCAUAAACACACAAGAAAUAGAAAGAGAAAGGAGCUUUGAAAUUUAAAAAAAAAAUCAAUCAAAAAAAUCAUAUCUAAAAUUUUUAAAGCUUAAAAGCUUUUUCCUGGGUCAUUGCCGUUUGAAGUGCGAAUUGCUGAUUUCUGCUUGAAGCCGAGCUCAAUUUGUAGAUCUCGUCUUGAUUUCACUUGCUAUCCAAGUUGUUUUGUAGAUCGUUGGUUGUACACCUUUCAUGGAGGUUCUGCUCCCUUUAAUUUAAAGAUAGACGCUCUAAAAGUUUAAAUAUAUUCUAUGUGGAAGAUGUUGUUUCUGCUGAAAUCAAUAAAGACAGCCUGCUGUUUGAAGUCUGAUUUUCACAUUCGUACUUCGGCCAUUUAGCUUCUUUCCUUUUCUCUCUUUCUUAAAUGUAAUAAAUAUGCAGUAAUACAUGCCUAGGUAGUUUAUGUUUUAAGUACUAAGUUUGUAUCAAAGUUCAGAGUAAAGCUAUGGUAGUAGUUAGCUCAUCUUCUCUGCAUAUGGAAAUUCGAUUAACCUUGUGUGAGGCAUUGGUAUUCUCUUGAAAAAUGGCUGCUGGAUUCCUCUCCAAUUGUUCAUUGAAUGUGGAGAAUAUCUAGCAGUGUGAUGAAAGGGCAUAAUCUAGCAUGUUUGGGACUGUUAGUUUAUAUUAAUUUCGUUUGUCAUUUUAUAGGUUAAGGUUCAUUAGUUGUCGUAUACCAAUUAAUUGUUUCUUCACAUGUUUCAAAGUUUUUAUCAAAUAGCGUUGAACCUACAUGAAAAUUGAUGCAA
Long non-coding RNA from Nicotiana tabacum (common tobacco), 1052 nucleotides. RefSeq lists it as uncharacterized. NCBI's taxonomy places the organism in Eukaryota, Viridiplantae, Streptophyta, Magnoliopsida, Solanales, Solanaceae. The record is from RefSeq and is a predicted model, not a curated record.